RNAcentral lists this transfer RNA (74 nucleotides) under Parcubacteria group bacterium CG1_02_44_31. RNAcentral's name for it is "tRNA-Gly". It matches the Rfam family "tRNA". From Rfam's summary of the family: Transfer RNA (tRNA) molecules are approximately 80 nucleotides in length. Their secondary structure includes four short double-helical elements and three loops (D, anti-codon, and T loops). Further hydrogen bonds mediate the characteristic L-shaped molecular structure. tRNAs have two regions of fundamental functional importance: the anti-codon, which is responsible for specific mRNA codon recognition, and the 3' end, to which the tRNAs corresponding amino acid is attached (by aminoacyl-tRNA synthetases). tRNAs cope with the degeneracy of the genetic code in two manners: having more than one tRNA (with a specific anti-codon) for a particular amino acid; and 'wobble' base-pairing, i.e. permitting non-standard base-pairing at the 3rd anti-codon position. RNAcentral also lists the same sequence under 5 other names. The record is from RNAcentral.
GCGGGAUUAGUACAGUGGCAGUAUGUCAGCUUCCCAAGCUGAAGACGCCAGUCCGAUUCUGGUAUCCCGCUCAA